UGCGUGGUGGGUAGUUUGACGUGGGGCGGUCGCCUACCAAAGAGUAACGGAGGCGCGCGAAGGUAGGCUCAGAGCGGUCGGAAAUCGCUCGUUGAGUGCAAUGGCAGAGCCUGCCUGACUGCGAGACUGACAAGUCGAGCAGAGACGAAAGUCGGUCAUAGUGAUCCGGUGGUCCCGAGUGGAAGGGCCAUCGCUCAACGGAUAAAAGGUACGCUGGGGAUAACAGGCUGAUGAUGCCCAAGAGUCCAUAUCGACGGCAUCGUUUGGCACCUCGAUGUCGGCUCAUCUCAUCCUGGGGCUGGAGCAGGUCCCAAGGGUACGGCUGUUCGCCGUUUAAAGAGGUACGUGAGCUGGGUUUAGAACGUCGUGAGACAGUUCGGUCCCUAUCUGCCGUGGGUGUAGGAUACUUGAGAGGAG
This 417-nucleotide ribosomal RNA is filed under the name uncultured bacterium. Its description in RNAcentral is "bacterial LSU rRNA". It matches the Rfam family "Bacterial large subunit ribosomal RNA", at positions 2255 to 2671 of the family's 2925-position model. The record is from RNAcentral.